This 706-nucleotide long non-coding RNA is filed under the name Lonchura striata (white-rumped munia). Its description in RNAcentral is "domestica (Bengalese finch) lncRNA (ENSLSDG00000000679.1)". Lineage: Eukaryota; Metazoa; Chordata; Aves; Passeriformes; Estrildidae. The record is from RNAcentral.
CCACGUGCCCAGUCCCGGUGCCAGUCCCAUUCCCGGUGCUCCAUCCCCGUUUGUUCCCGCUCCCGUUCCCGGUGUCCCCGCUCCCCGUUCGUCCCCGUCCUGGUGUCCCAUCCCCGUUUGUUCCCGUUCCCGGUGCAAAUUCCCAUCCCCGGUGUCCCUCGUUCCUGGUGUCCCAUCCCCGGUGUCCCCCAUCCCCGGUGUCCCCGUCCCCUUUUGUUCCCGCUCCCAGUCCCGGUGUCCCCAUCCCCGUUUGUUCCCGUUCCUGGUGCCAAUUCCCAUUCCCGGUGUCCCCGCUCCCCGUCCGUCCCCGCUGCCGGUGUCCCCCAUUCCCGGUGUCCCAUCCCCGGUGUCCCCGUCCCGGUGUCCCCGUCCCCGUUUGUUCCCGCUCCCAUUCCCGGUGUCCCAUUCCCGGUGUCCCCUUUCCCGGUGUCCCAUUCCCGGUGUCCCCCUUUCCCGGUGCCACCCCCGCCCCGCCCCGCCCCGCCCCGCCCCGCCCCGCCCCGCCCCGCCGCCCGUUGCCCUUUGCCCGGUGCCCGUUGCCGCUCGCCCCGUGCCCGUUGUCCUCGCCCGUUGUCCCUGGCCCGGUGCCCGUUGCCCUUCGCCCCGUGCCCGUUGCUCCCGGCCCGCUGCCGGUGGCCGCUUCCCUCGGCCACCCCCGCCGCUCGCACCGGGCCGGCUCCGUCCCUUCCCGGGGAGCGGCUCCGUC